GACGAACGCUGGCGGCGUGCUUAACACAUGCAAGUCGAACGGAAAGGCCCUGCUCUUGUGGGGCGCUCGAUUGGCGAACGGGUGAGUAACACGUGAGUAACCUGUCCCUGUCAUUGGGAUAACUCUACGAAACAGGGGCUAAUACCGCAUAGGAUCUCCUGCUGCACGGUGGGGGUUGGAGAGUUUCGGCGGUUGGGGAUGGACUCGCGGGUUAUCAGCUUGUUAGUGAGGUAGUGGCUUUCCAAGGGUUUGAGGGGUAGCCGGCCUGAGAGGGUGACCGGCGACAAUGGGCCUAAGGGACGCCCCAGACUCCUACGGGAGGCAACAGUGGAGAAUAUUGCACAGUGGGCGGAAGCCUGAUGCGGCGGCGCCGCGUGCGGGAUAACGGCCUACGAGUUGUAAACCGAUGUCGCCUGUGACGAGGCGUGAGUGACGGUAAUGGGUAAAGAAGCAACGGCUAACUACGUG
RNAcentral lists this ribosomal RNA (468 nucleotides) under uncultured bacterium. RNAcentral's name for it is "partial 16S ribosomal RNA". It matches the Rfam family "Bacterial small subunit ribosomal RNA", at positions 28 to 507 of the family's 1533-position model. The record is from RNAcentral.